Molecule: ribosomal RNA, 1042 nt
Filed under: uncultured Kineosporia sp.
Lineage: Bacteria; Bacillati; Actinomycetota; Actinomycetes; Kineosporiales; Kineosporiaceae
Description: bacterial SSU rRNA
Rfam family: Bacterial small subunit ribosomal RNA
Source: RNAcentral
UGGGAUGGCGAUGGGCGAGCCUGACGCAGCGACGCCGCGUGAGGGAUGAAGGCCUUCGGGUCGUAAACCUCUUUCAGCAGGGAAGAAGCGAAAGUGACGGUACCUGCAGAAGAAGCACCGGCUAACUACGUGCCAGCAGCCGCGGUAAUACGUAGGGUGCAAGCGUUGUCCGGAAUUAUUGGGCGUAAAGAGCUCGUAGGCGGUCUGUCGCGUCUGCUGUGAAAACUCAGGGCUUAACCCUGAGCUUGCAGUGGGUACGGGCAGACUAGAGUGCGGUAGGGGAGACUGGAAUUCCUGGUGUAGCGGUGAAAUGCGCAGAUAUCAGGAGGAACACCGGUGGCGAAGGCGGGUCUCUGGGCCGUAACUGACGCUGAGGAGCGAAAGCAUGGGGAGCGAACAGGAUUAGAUACCCUGGUAGUCCAUGCCGUAAACGUUGGGCGCUAGGUGUGGGGCUCUUUCCACGAGUUCCGUGCCGCAGCUAACGCAUUAAGCGCCCCGCCUGGGGAGUACGGCCGCAAGGCUAAAACUCAAAGGAAUUGACGGGGGCCCGCACAAGCGGCGGAGCAUGCGGAUUAAUUCGAUGCAACGCGAAGAACCUUACCAAGGCUUGACAUGGGGUGAAAACUCGCAGAGAUGCGGGGUCCGCAAGGGCGCCUCACAGGUGGUGCAUGGUUGUCGUCAGCUCGUGUCGUGAGAUGUUGGGUUAAGUCCCGCAACGAGCGCAACCCUCGUUCUAUGUUGCCAGCACGUAAUGGUGGGGACUCAUAGGAGACUGCCGGGGUCAACUCGGAGGAAGGUGGGGACGACGUCAAAUCAUCAUGCCCCUUAUGUCUUGGGGCUUCACGCAUGCUACAAUGGCCAGUACAAAGGGCUGCGAGACCGUAAGGUGGAGCGAAUCCCAAAAAGCUGGUCUCAGUUCGGAUUGGGGUCUGCAACUCGACCCCAUGAAGUCGGAGUCGCUAGUAAUCGCAGAUCAGCAACGCUGCGGUGAAUACGUUCCCGGGCCUUGUACACUCCGCCCAAGGGCGAAUUUCCACAGUGA